GUCUUUGUUUUUGAAUGUGUAAACUCUGUUUCCGAAUAUUAAACUGAUCCACACGAAAUGGAAAGUGCACUCUGCACCAGAUGCUUCAGCAAUUUGUUUGUGCAGAAGAAUUGUUGAGCUGCAGACAAUGAUGAAAGUUUUGUUCCUCGUUCUGUGUUCAGGAAUUUUGCAGUUUUCAUUAGCUGCAUACCGUCUGCGAUACUUUAAUGAUUAUCCAGAAGAGAGACUGAACUGGACUGACGCAAAACAAUACUGUGUUGAAGAGGGAGGAUCAUUACUGAGUCUGCAUGAUGAAGAGGAGGAGAGGAUGAUAUUUAAUUACACUAACCCCGGACCUGGGUUUUGGAUUGGCCUCAAGAAGAAGGAUAAUUAUACUCUCUUUUGGUCAAAUGGAGAAAUUGUCAACUUUACCAAGUCAACAGUAAACAUUAGUGAUGUAGAUCAACUCUGUGAAGCUUUUGAAAACGGUUCAUGGAAGGGUGUUAAAUGUUCAGAAGAAAAAGCUUUCAUGUGUAAAAGUGGUGAAAAUUUCGUCCUUGUAGACGAUGUUGAGAGAAACUGGUGCCAGGCAAGGCAACACUGCAGAACACAUUUCAACAAUUUAGCGAGUAUCAUGGACGAACAGCAAAAUGAAGACCUGCGACAAAAAAGUCGAGGAAAAAACGUUUGGAUCGGGUUUCAGCAUGACAAAUAUGAAUGGGCAGACAAAAGUUGUUCAACAUUCAGAACUAUUAGUGAUAGUUCUGACACAUGUGUCUCUUUACAUAACAAUGGGAAUGAGCUUAAUUGGAUUCCACUUGGGUGCAGUAAUGUAAAACCAAUCAUUUGUUAUAAAGGUUAGCUAUAAAUUUAAUACAUUUACUGGCAAAUAUUGUUAUUGAGAAAAUUUAGAAAUGUUGUAAUGCAGAAUUAGAACAAAUAUGCACAUUCAUCUUAGACAUUAAUAAGCGAAGCAGUAAAGUUCCAAGAGAAUAUCAGUGCUAUGUUAUUGAGAAAUAGUGUGACAUAAAUUUACCUUCUAGGCUCAAUUAGAUCCAGUAAAGUAAAGUUUAACAUGUCAUAAUUUGGAGUUUUAAUCAAAUACACAAAUAAUCAAUCCCAAAUGCUAAAAAUGCAUCAUCCUAUUUCCAGACACUGUCAGCACAAUUUAUAGACAAGCUAAAGAUUAGCAUGCAGCAAAGGAUUAAAAGAAUUGCGUUGAUGAUCUAGGCGAGCCUUUCACUUUCUGUGAGUCUUAUUUGUGUUUUUUGUCUUAAUUUUCAGGCAAUGUGAGAAUCAUAGUAAUCAAGGAGCCCAAAACUUGGGAGGACGCCCUGAAUUACUGUGAAGCCAGACAUUCACGCUUUCUAUGGAUUGAGGAUGAGGAGGACCAGAAAGCUGUUGGACAGUGGCUAAAUUUCACUGUCACUGGUUCUUUGAAGCAUUUGUGGAUCGGUCUGAGGCAGAGUUCUGUCUUUGGGUUCUGGAUUUGGAGUGACCGAAUUGCAAACUAUAAGAACUGGGAGAAUGGAAAACAGCCUGAGAUGGCUUUGUUCCGUCACUGUGGUGUGAUUGAUGCUAAAAUCUUCGAAUGGAGUGGUGAAGAUUGUAAGCUUAUGUUACCUUUCCUCUGUGAAGAGGAUAUAAUAUACAUGAAGACCUAAAAUUACAGCUUCAUUCAACAGCUGAAAGCCUAAUGAUGUCAUGUUACCACUUCCAUCCAUCUGUCUGUUUCUCUCUCUCUCUCUGUUAUUGGUGGGUUUGAUUCUAUGUUUAGGUGUUUUUUUUUAAUCAUUUCAUGUAAUCAGUGUCCGAAUUUUGACUGCAUAUUUAAGGUCUCAUAUGUAUUUCCAAAAGCAGUAUGUAAAAUGUUUUGCCUUUUUUUUUCUGUUGUGCAGUUUUUGACAAGAGAUACUUCCAAAUCAUAUAUUUAAAGUGAUUAAAUAAUUACAGAUUUAA
Poecilia latipinna (sailfin molly) is the source of this 1938-nucleotide long non-coding RNA. RefSeq lists it as uncharacterized. The record is from RefSeq and is a predicted model, not a curated record. NCBI's taxonomy places the organism in Eukaryota, Metazoa, Chordata, Actinopteri, Cyprinodontiformes, Poeciliidae. The transcript is spliced from 4 exons.